This 329-nucleotide unclassified non-coding RNA is filed under the name soil metagenome. RNAcentral's name for it is "partial contains 5.8S ribosomal RNA, internal transcribed spacer 2, and large subunit ribosomal RNA". The stretch from base 1 to 120 matches the Rfam family "5.8S ribosomal RNA", at positions 35 to 154 of the family's 154-position model. The record is from RNAcentral.
GAUGAAGAACGCAGCGAAAUGCGAUAAGUAAUGUGAAUUGCAGAAUUCAGUGAAUCAUCGAAUCUUUGAACGCACAUUGCGCCCCCUGGUAUUCCGGGGGGCAUGCCUGUCCGAGCGUCAUUACAACCCCCAAGCUCAGCUUGGUGUUGGGCCCCGCCGCCCCGGCGGGCCCUAAAGUCAGUGGCGGUGCCGUCCGGCUCCGAGCGUAGUAAUUCUUCUCGCUCUGGAGGUCCGGUCGUGUGCUCGCCAGCAACCCCCAAUUUUUUUCAGGUUGACCUCGGAUCAGGUAGGGAUACCCGCUGAACUUAAGCAUAUCAAUAAGCGGAGGA